Molecule: long non-coding RNA, 1129 nt
Organism: Fundulus heteroclitus (mummichog)
Lineage: Eukaryota; Metazoa; Chordata; Actinopteri; Cyprinodontiformes; Fundulidae
Exons: 4
Source: RefSeq, a predicted model, not a curated record
GGAAGUGGUUGCUGCGGUUAGCUUCACGUUAACCGGUCAGCAGAAGGUCGGAGAGCAGCAGCUGCAGCGUGUUUGGAGCUGGUCACCUGUCUCUACCUGAUAACCGGGCAGGUAACUGCAGGUUUAACCGGAAGCUGCUCUGUCGGCCGCACAGGUACUUCCGUCCAGGCCGGAAACAGGUUGGAGCUAAUAGGCUAACGUUAGCAUGCAGGGAGCUAACCUGCUGAAGAGGAAGGGGGCGGAGCCUUGGAGCUGCCAGCAGAAGCGGGUGUGUUUGGAGGCGGAGCUCCAGAUAGCAGAGUAUCCAAUGGAAAUGUCCCAUGAUGUGCCUGUGACCAGUCAGCAGCCGGCGCCGCAGGUUGGUUCGACCCGGCCUGGUCCUCCUCAGCUCUGCUGCCCCCGCUGUCUCGGAGGAGAACCGGGUCACAUCCGCCACAUCCUGGGUCAGUGAAUGCAGGAGCAGGAGGGGAAGCAGGAGGAGGUGUCCAGAAACCGUCCAAAUACAUGUCAGCCCUUCCACUGGAAGGGCCAAUCAGAUGCCUUUCCGUCUCUUUCCCAGGAAGUUUGUAGCAGCUGACUCAGAACACCUGGAGACAUUUUUUCUGAGUGUCAGCUCAGUCUGAAAGCAAUAACAUUGCAUCAUCAUGGAGGCGGCCAGUUAGCCUCAUGAGAUCUCUGACGGUGUGUUCAAGAACACUGAUUAAACGUGUGUCCCUGAACACACCACAAGUCUGUCUCUGGGCUCUGAUCACAUCUACAUCAGCUGAUCAAUAAUCAAUGACUCAGAUUUGUCCUUUGAUCUCCUGGUGAGGUGUUCACUGCCCAUCUUUUCACUCAGUAAAGGGCUAUUACACAGUUUACAAUCAGGGCAUUUUCCCUAUCAGAAUUCUUCUUCUGUGGUAUUAAGGAACUAAUGUCUGAGGCGUUAAAAGCAGAAACCUAAAUGAAAAUUAUACAAUGUCUUCCUGUUCAUAUAUUCUAUUUUUGCAAAAAUUUUGUAUAUUUUUAAUUGAAAUCUGACUAAAUGUAAUUCAGCUUCCUGCUGACAUCAUUUUGUGCUCCAGGCUGACCAAUCAGAGGGCAGCAUUUGUGCUGUUGACUGAUUUUGAAAUAAAUUUUUUAAAAACGG